This is a long non-coding RNA of Monodelphis domestica (gray short-tailed opossum), 6583 nucleotides long. RefSeq lists it as uncharacterized. The record is from RefSeq and is a predicted model, not a curated record. Lineage: Eukaryota; Metazoa; Chordata; Mammalia; Didelphimorphia; Didelphidae.
GUCCCACCCCCGAGCUAGCGUCACGGCCUUCACGGAAAUGGAAAUGAUUCUCACCGGGGGAAAAACUAUCCAAGUUCUCUUUGCACGAUUGCUCACCUGGUCUCAGCCCUGCCCACCCGGCCCUGCUUCUGCGCUCCUGCAAUCUGGACCUGUUUGACCCACAUCCUCUCUCCUGAUCCAAUGUCCCGGUUCCGACCCGCCCAGCCCCAGCAACUCUGGCCUCCAAGCAGAUCGCUCAUUGCCCCAGGCCCAGGACUCACUUCCACCAGCUGUGGAUCAUGGCCAGAUAUGAAGAGGAAAUGGAUCUCGUUUUUGGACAAGAUAUACAAAAGAGCCAUUUCACAGGGCCAAAGAAGCAAAGCUAAACCUGAGUUGUGCCAAAAGAACACACAGGUCAACAAAUCCAGGAAGGAUUGAUGCACUUCUAAGCCAAUACAAAGGACUUGAACCUAGUGUGAAGACUCAAGGUUGUGAAGCUUAACAUAUGUUAAGAGAAACUGAAUUGUUUGGAGAAGACACCAUGAAGAUGCCUCAAGACCAAAGGCUGCACGAGAAGAUCAAGAAGGAACUUUGGGUGUGGUUGAUUGAACAUUUAUUUGUAUGUAUACUUUCAUGCCAAAGGGGACUGCCCCCUAACUUGCUUUUUGUCAAUGCGUCUAGCAAUUACUGGUUUUAUUCUUUUCCUCUUAUCCUCAAAUUAUUGUAAUCUUUAAGCUGAUUAUGUUUGCAUGAUCCUUUUUGGGGAAAUUUUUCCCAAUAACGAUCAAAUGGGGAUUGUAAAAAUGGAGAUUUGAACCCCAGACUUCAAUCCCCAGAAGUCCUUGGCAGUUCCCAGAAUUCCCAUGAAUCCCCACCUGGGCCAAAAUCACAAUUUGUAUUUAAACUGAUUGUAAUGCUUACUUCGGUCUCUUCCUGUACUUGGAGAUUGCAAGGAUGUAGUGAGUAGACUAAGUGCUGGGGGUUCUGAAUUUGGCUUUCAGCCAUGGGCAUGUGGUUUAUUAUUUUGUAUCCUUGAUUUUUUUUAAUAUUAUUUUAUUUGGUCAUUUCCAAACAUUAUUCAUUUGAGACAAAGAUCAUUUUCUUUUCCUCCCCCCUCCCCCCCUUAGCCGACGCACAAUUCCUCUGGGUAUCACAUGUUCUUGAUUCGAAUCCAUUUCCAUGUUGUUGGUAUUUGCAUUAGAGUGUUAAUUUAGAGUCUCUCCUCAGACAUGUCCCCUCAACCCCUGUAGUCAAGCAGUUGCUUUUCCUUGGUGUUUUUACUCCCACAGUUUGUCCUCUGCUUGUGGAUAGUGUUUUUUCUCCUAGAUCCCUGCAGAUUGUUUAGGGAUCUCUAUCUUUAGGGAUUAUUUUAGGAUCUCUAGUUUGAUUUCCUUCUGGGGGUUUUUAAUUUGUUUAAUUUCAAGUUUUUUUAUUUGCAUUUCCAAUUCAUUGAUCUCUGCCCUCCCUAGUUUGUUAAUAUAUGCACUCAGGGAUAUGAAUUUUCCUCUGAUUACCGCUUUGGCUGCGUCCCAUAAGGUUUGAAAGGAUGUCUCACCAUUGUCAUUUUCAUCGAUGAAAUUAUUAAUUGUUUCUAUGAUUUGUUCUCUAACUAACUGAUUUUGAAGUAUAUUAUUUAAUUUCCAAAGAAUUUUUUAUUUGGUUCUCCAUGUACCCUUACUGAUCAUAAUUUUUUUUGCCUUAUGAUCUGAAAAGACUACAUUUAUUAUUUUCUGCUUUUCUGCAUUUGUAUGCCAUGUUUCUGUGACCUAGUGUAUGGUCAAUCUUUGUGAAUGUGCCAUGUGGUGCUGAGAAGAAGGUGUAUUCCUUUUUGUCCCUAUUUAUUUUUCUCCAUAUGUCUAUUAACUCUAAUUUUUCUAAGAUUUCAUUCACUUCUUUUACCUCUUUCUUAUUUAUUUUUUGAUUUGAUUUAUCUAAAUUUGAUAGUGGUUGGUUGAAAUCUCCCACUAAUAUGGUUUGUCUAUUUCCUCCUUUAAUUCUCCUAGUUUCUCCAUUAGAAAUUUGGGUGCUAUACUAUUUGGUGCAUACAUAUUGAUUAGUGAUAUUUCCUCAUUAUCUAUAGUCCCUUUUAACAAAAUAUAUUUACCUUCCCUAUCCCUUUUAAUCAGGUCUAUUUUUGCUUUGUCUUUGUCAGAUAUCAUGAUUGCAACUCCUGCCUUCUUUCUAUCAAUUGAGGCCCAAAAGGUCUUACUCCAUCCUUUAAUUCGGACCUUGUGAGUGUUUACCUGCCUCAUGUGUGUUUCUUAAAGACAACAUAUGGUAUGAUUUUGGAUUCUAAUCCAUUCUGCUAUUCAUCUACGUUUUAUGGGUGAGUUCAUCCCAUUCACGUUCAAAGUUAUGAUUGUCACUUGUGGACUCCCUGGCAUUUUGAUAUCCUCCCCUAAUUCUGACCUUUCUUCUUUAGCUAUAACCUUUUAAGCCAGUGAUUUACUUUAAACUUGAUUUCUAAUAAUCUUAAUAAACCUCUAAAAAUAUAAUACUUUUAGUAGAGAAACUAAUUUAAAUGUUAAAGUAGAAACGCAGAAGAAAAACCUGUGAUUUAUCACUUGUUUAUACGAAUGUCAGAUGUGGGGUUUUGGUUUUUAAAAGAUUAAUACAAAAAUGAAUCAUAUGAAAAUAGAUAUUGAGUGAUAAUACAUGUAUAACCCAGUGGAAUUUCUUGUUGUCUCUGGGAGGAGGGAGGGAAAGAGCAUGGAUCAUGUAACCAUGGGAAAAUACCUCAAAAUAAAUAAACAAAAAUUUAAGAGGGAAAAAAAAAAGAAUAGUUGGACUCCCUAGAAGUUACAAUUAAAAAAAAAUUCAGAAACCAUAAUCCAAGAAAUCAUCAAGGAAAUCUGCCCAGAAGUUCUGGAAACAGAAGGUAAAAUAGAAAUUGAAAUAAUCCACUGAUUACUACCUCAAAGAGAUUCAAAGAUGAAAAUGCACAGGAACAUCAUUGUGUAAAAAAUAGACUCGAAUACAGGACUACAAUCCCCAUGAGCCUUUGCUCCACUUCCCCAGAAUGCCUUGUAAUCUCACGUGGGCUGAGAUCGAGGAGGUAUUUAAGCUGAUUCAAAGGCUUUUGAGAGGUCUCUUGGCUCUUUUUGGACUUCCGUUUUGGAGCAGGCGGUCUCUUGCGUGAUGUGAGGUUAUUUUGUCUAGGCCUCUGGCCUAGGCACAUGUUUCUUACUUGUAUAUUCUUUAAUCUUUAUCCUUUAAUAAACCUCUAAAAAAUAUAAUACUCCUUGCAGAGAGAAACUAAUUUCUACCUGCCUCAGUCUCCCCAUCUCCCCUAAAUUUUAAUCUUUACAAUUGCUAAGUUCAUAGCCCCUAGAGUAAGGAAAAAAUAUUAAGAGCAGCAAGAAGAAAAUUGAUUUAAAUACAGAACACAUAAGACUUAGCAUCCACAACUGUGAAAGGAAAUUCUUGGUUCUCUUUGUCUAUUCUGAGUUUGCACUUGUGAAAAGGGAAUCCUUUAUUCUCUUUGCCUAGUUGGAGUUAAAACUUUGGUUAACACUAUCUUAAGCACCCCGCGGUCUUUCUCUCGAUUACCUGGCCCACCUGAUUCAACUAAGAUUGCAAUCACCUGGUGACCUGCCUGCCCAGCAAACCCAGUUCCUUGGAGCAGAUCGCUCGGGACUCAUUUCUAUCAGCUGGUAACAAAACGGGGGUAUUGGCUCCACAUGGACUGGGGCAGGAGGAGGGAUCAUAGCAGGGGAGAGAGAAAGGGAGAGGAGAAGAAACAGAUUUUUCAAACAGAAACUUAAUAGCAAUGGGAUGUUUAAAAGGAUACCUUUUGACUCUUCUGGUAAUUUCAUUGACUUCACCUGCCUGUCAGGGAGCAGACUCAGCCCAAAGAUUCAACUUUAACUUUGAAGGGGCAAAUGGGUGGCCCAGCGAACUGGGAGCCAGGCCCAGAGAUGGGAGGUCUCUAGUUGAAAUCUGGCCUGAGACACUUCAUGGCCGUGUGGCCCGGAGCAGAUUGCUCAGACCCCCAUUGCCUAGCCCUUACCACUCUUCUGCCUUUGGACAAUAGACAUUUAAAUGGAUAAACACACCUAAGGAACUUUAAAGACUAGAGGCUAUAUUCUAAGACAUUUUGGACUCCAAUGGUUUAUAAAAACUCUCUGUAUUUCUAUUGCAUUUUUUGUUAUGGUUUAACUUUGUGAUUUUAAGUUCAUAUAUUACUGGAUUCAAUAUUCUGUUACACUGAAGGUUGAUUGAAUUUAUUUUGAGUGUACUGAGUUUUGAAAUUCUGUUGUUUUUCCCCUAUAACUGUGCUGAACAAAUAUUAUUGUAAUUAAGCCCAUAUGAAAAAAAAAAACAGCCUUUCUAUUUUGACUUUGUAAAUUAUCACAUAGAUGGACUUCAGGACUGGUUAUAAUUGUAUAACAACCUUUGGAAAAUUUAAUAUGCUAAAUAUCUCAAAUGAUUUUAAGGGUUUUUUAAAUAUGAUUUUGUAAUUUUUUUUUAACAAUCUCUGGUUAUUUUUGCCUGCCCCUACCACGAGGUAAGGCCCAUUCUAGUAGCUGAAAUGAAAUACAUUUUAUAACCCCCAACCUUCCCACAUUUCUAAAUAUGUGAAUGGAAAUUGGGGCAGUUAAUCUCAGGGCAUUUGUAUCCUUAUAAGCCUCCAAAAAAGGAGUACCCCUUUAGUUAUACUCUUCAGCUCACUAUUUUACUUCUACCAGAAUGAUAUAUAGAUUUCUUGAUUAUGUUCUUAACCCAAGAUGAGUUUUACUUUGUUUAAAAAUAUUUUUAUUACCAAGGUUGAAAGAUUGCUACAUUUGUAAAAAAAAAAAACAAGAAAAAAAGUGUGACAAAUGUCCAUCAAUUCAUAGGUUUUAAAAAAUGCCAUACAGCAACUUAUAUGAAAUAUGAUAGUGUAUUUGUUUGCUAUUGUAAUUAAUUGGGCUAUUGAGAAUUUUGGGGAUAUUGAUAUCUACAUAUUUGCACUACUGUAUUUUUAAAAAUGAAAAAAUGUUACCUCUCUCAGUUCAUUUGCCUCAUACUCACAGUGAUCAUGGCCAGAUACAAAGAGGAAGUGGAUCUCAUUUUUGGUGAGAAAGCCUUGCAUUUUAUAUUUUCUUAGCUGACACAGAGUGUCAAUGAUUAUAAGCUAUAUUUUUGAAUUUUUAAAGCUCUUUUAUUAUUAUAUUUUUCUUGCAUGUGCAAUAUACUUUUUCAGUUUUUUUAAAUAUUUUUCUCUCCUUUUUAUAUUUGAAGCACAUGUCACCAGCAUUAAGAUUUUCUUUAACCUUUUGAUUUUUCAGUACUACAAGUUUGAAAUACAUUUGUUAAUGCAUGCCCUAAAAAGCUAGAGACUAUAAAAAUGAUGCCACUAAUUAUUUAAAAAUUAUGGGACUUUGCUUAAUGAUUCUGUCUGAUUCCAGGACAAGAUAUACACACAAGAGCCAUUGCACAGAGCCAAAGAAAAGCCAAUCCAGGAUGGAUUGAUGCACUUCUAGGCCAAUACAAAGGUCUUGAACCUAGUGUGAAGACUCGAGGUUACUGUGUUUAACAUGUUGUUAAGACAUAGGCUUUCCUUGUGUCCACACUCACUCUGAAAAUACUCACAGACGAGUAUCCCCAAACUUGGCUCCUACUUGGCUUCUAUAAUCUGGUCCCUUUCUUUUCUGCCUCUCAUAGUGUGGCAACUUUCUGUAGUCCUGGCUACUGACUGGGUAAAUGCAUCAUUGCUUAGAUCAUUUUGAUUGGGCCCUGAUUGAAGGACCUGUUAUAGAUUUAUUUUUCUUUACUUGGAAUUUUUACACAUAAGAUGUUGAUAAUCUAUAUUUUCAUCCAGAAAUUUUUUCUUUUCUUUUGGAUUUUUCUGAUUUUUUUUUAAAUUUCUCUUGCCAAUUGAUUCAUAUACCUCAUACCUCAGCCAUGCAUCCCUAAGUGAUCCUGUUUUUUUAAUCACCCUCUUAAUGGGGGGAAUGUAAAAAAUAUCAUUAUUUAAAUUGCAAAGUUUAAAUUCCUUUUGAGAAGAAUUUUAGGUAAAGAAGAGGCUACCUCUCUGAAUCCAGAACUGAACUGUUGGAGAAACCACCAUGAAGAAGCCUCCAGACCACAAGUGCACAAAAUUGAACUUUGGGUGUGGUUGAUUGAACAUUUAUUUGUAUAUAUACUUUCAUGCCAAAUGGGACUGCCCCCUAACUGACUUUUUGUCAAUGCGUCCAGCAAUUAUUGGUUUUGUUCUUUUUUUUCUCUUAUCCUCAAAUUAUUGUAAUCUUUAAAUUGAUUAUGUUUUUAUGAUCCUUUGGGGAAGGACUGCUUCCCAGAGGAUCAAACAGGGGGAAUGUAAAGUUGAGAUUUAAACUCUGGACUCCAUUCCCCAGGAGUCCUUACUAGCUCCCAGAAUGCCCUCUAAUCUCACUGAAUUCUCACCUGGGACGAGAGCAAAAUUUUAUUUAAAGGGUCUUCCUCGUAGGCGGGGGCUUUUUUGGACUUCUGUUUUGGAGCAGAGGUGUCUCUUCCAUGAUGUGAGAUUAUCUUGUCUAGGCCACUCUGGCCUAGGCACGUGUUUCUUAUCCUGACUUUUCUUUAAUCCUUAAUCUUCAAUAAACCUCUAAAAAAAAUAAUACUCCUUGCAGAGAGAAACUAA